Molecule: ribosomal RNA, 497 nt
Filed under: uncultured bacterium
Lineage: Bacteria
Description: partial 16S ribosomal RNA
Rfam family: Bacterial small subunit ribosomal RNA
Source: RNAcentral
GAUGAACGCUGGCGGCGUGCCUAAUACAUGCAAGUCGAGCGAACAGACGUGGAGCUUGCUCCUCUGACGUUAGCGGCGGACGGGUGAGUAACACGUGGAUAACCUACCUAUAAGACUGGGAUAACUUCGGGAAACCGGAGCUAAUACCGGGUAAUAUAUUGAACCGCAUGGUUCAAUAGUGAAAGACGGUUUUGCUGUCACUUAUAGAUGGAUCCGCGCCGCAUUAGCUAGUUGGUAAGGUAACGGCUUACCAAGGCAACGAUGCGUAGCCGACCUGAGAGGGUGAUCGGCCACACUGGAACUGAGACACGGUCCAGACUCCUACGGGAGGCAGCAGUAGGGAAUCUUCCGCAAUGGGCGAAAGCUUGACGGAGCAACGCCGCGUGAGUGAUGAAGGUCUUCGGAUCGUAAAACUCUGUUAUUAGGGAAGAACAAAUGUGUAAGUAACUAUGCACGUCUUGACGGUACCUAAUCAGAAAGCCACGGCUAACUACGUG